RNAcentral lists this transfer RNA (73 nucleotides) under Bos taurus (domestic cattle). It matches the Rfam family "tRNA". From Rfam's summary of the family: Transfer RNA (tRNA) molecules are approximately 80 nucleotides in length. Their secondary structure includes four short double-helical elements and three loops (D, anti-codon, and T loops). Further hydrogen bonds mediate the characteristic L-shaped molecular structure. tRNAs have two regions of fundamental functional importance: the anti-codon, which is responsible for specific mRNA codon recognition, and the 3' end, to which the tRNAs corresponding amino acid is attached (by aminoacyl-tRNA synthetases). tRNAs cope with the degeneracy of the genetic code in two manners: having more than one tRNA (with a specific anti-codon) for a particular amino acid; and 'wobble' base-pairing, i.e. permitting non-standard base-pairing at the 3rd anti-codon position. RNAcentral also lists the same sequence under 2 other names. Lineage: Eukaryota; Metazoa; Chordata; Mammalia; Artiodactyla; Bovidae. The record is from Rfam by way of RNAcentral.
UCCCUGGAAGUCCAAUGGUUAGAACUCUGCACUUCCACUGCAGAGGACCAGGGUUCAGUUCCUGGUCUGGGAA